GAUGAACGCUGGCGGCGUGCCUAAUACAUGCAAGUCGAGCGAACGGACGAGAAGCUUGCUUCUCUGAUGUUAGCGGCGGACGGGUGAGUAACACGUGGAUAACCUACCUAUAAGACUGGGAUAACUUCGGGAAACCGGAGCUAAUACCGGAUAAUAUUUUGAACCGCAUGGUUCAAAAGUGAAAGACGGUUUUGCUGUCACUUAUAGAUGGAUCCGCGCUGCAUUAGCUAGUUGGUAAGGUAACGGCUUACCAAGGCAACGAUGCAUAGCCGACCUGAGAGGGUGAUCGGCCACACGGGAACUGAGACACGGUCCAGACUCCUACGGGAGGCAGCAGUAGGGAAUCUUCCGCAAUGGGCGAAAGCCUGACGGAGCAACGCCGCGUGAGUGAUGAAGGUCUUCGGAUCGUAAAACUCUGUUAUUAGGGAAGAACAUAUGUGUAAGUAACUGUGCACAUCUUGACGGUACCUAAUCAGAAAGCCACGGCUAACUACGUG
RNAcentral lists this ribosomal RNA (497 nucleotides) under uncultured bacterium. RNAcentral describes it as "partial 16S ribosomal RNA". It matches the Rfam family "Bacterial small subunit ribosomal RNA", at positions 28 to 507 of the family's 1533-position model. The record is from RNAcentral.